UGACCGGAUCACCGGCUAGCGUUUUCGAACAUUUGAGGGGAAACCUUUGGUUCUUUGUUUCGUCGGGCAGGGAGCAGCCCCAAGCGCACUCUUAGAAGGCGCAAAGCCCAGGGGAAGCGGAGCGCUCACACCUCGCGGCUGUGCCCUGUCCCUUGGUAGACGCUGACAGCUGAGAGUGCCAACCACGAGGGACGGGGUCACCAAGUUUCGCCAGCAGAGAGCAAUGUUUUCAUGCCUGCCCUGGGAGUGAUAGCGUAAUAUUAGUGUUCUAAAAAUAAACCCUCUCUCUGAAGCUCCGCACAGGCACAAAUGCAUUCCACCGGGCAGGUCAGAAACAGGACCUGGAAGGAGAAAGCGACUGAGACUUAAUUUUAAAGAACUCAUUCAUAUUGCUAUGUACCUUUGACAUUUUUUAACUAGUGUUUUUAAUUUUAAUAAUACGGAUACUCUUGACAUAUUAGGCAUUUGAUUUUAGUGAUCCAUAAAUCAGAAAUGAUAUUAAUAAUAUGCUUGGAAUUUUUUAAAAGCUUUAAAUUUUGCGAUAAUUGACAGCAAUGGUAAUGAAAUUGAUAAAUGCUAAUUCGAUUCUUGACUGUUUGAUAGAGGGAGAAAGGAAUCUACUCCCUGACACAUAUAAAUGUUUUCAGUACACAAUAACAUCAUAUUUUUUUUUCAAUGUUUUCGUUUAAUCUUAUUUGAAAAUGCCUGAUUCUUUAGUGGUAUUAGAGUUACAUUGCUACUAAAGAUUAGAUUUUGUAACAGAACAAAGUUUAGUGUCUGAAAAAGAGAAUACAAAUUAUCAUUAUGUGAGAUUUUUACAUUUAGCAAGUUUUAAAAACCGAAUUUGGGGCAAUAAGGAACUAAUAUACCUUUCUAAGGAAAUGUAUAGAAUGUACAAAUUUCUAUAUUGUGGAAAAAGAUCACUUAUCCAAAUAAAUUUGUGAUUAAAGGAAGUUUACAUUAAUAGACUAAAACAAAUGAAAAACAGGCCUUUUCAAUAAUAGUGAUGCUAUUAAACUCCUAGUUAUGAAAGAGAUGCUGCUGAUCAUAAGAAGCAUUGAUAGAGAAUUUAUUGUUUGAAGUCCAUGCAAGCAAAUAAAACACUGCUUUUAACUUUGGUAUUUCAUUGUGAAAGACUUUACAGUCUAAAAACUCAUCGGUUCUACAUGAACUUGAUCAACCAUUGAGGGAAAAGAGGAAAUAUGUCAGGAAUAUAAAAUAAGCUGAAUUAGGAUGUUAGGAUUACCUUUUACAUUUUUUUCUUUGAGCUGUUAACUCUUUCCUGUUUAUGUUGUUAAUUUAGCAAACAGCAGUACUUGUGAUCCAAAGAAAUCUUCCAAAUAGAUUAAAUUAUUUUAUUUCUAGAUCUUUUCCUGUUUACCAAAAAUAAUUCCACAAGAAGCAGUGAAGUAAUGCAUGCAGUUUUCUUGUGCAAGGUUUGAAACUCUGAAUUGUAUUAAAAAUAAAAUGAUUUAUGUCUUGAUA
Molecule: long non-coding RNA, 1485 nt
Organism: Myotis lucifugus (little brown bat)
Lineage: Eukaryota; Metazoa; Chordata; Mammalia; Chiroptera; Vespertilionidae
Exons: 2
Source: RefSeq, a predicted model, not a curated record